RNAcentral lists this ribosomal RNA (1308 nucleotides) under Kuwayamaea chinensis. Its description in RNAcentral is "16S ribosomal RNA". The stretch from base 882 to 1236 matches the Rfam family "Archaeal large subunit ribosomal RNA", at positions 2155 to 2712 of the family's 2987-position model. Lineage: Eukaryota; Metazoa; Arthropoda; Insecta; Orthoptera; Tettigoniidae. The record is from RNAcentral.
AGGAGUCUAUUAAUAAAUGGGGAUUGUUUUUAAUUGUUUAAUAUAAAUAAUUUUAUAAUGAUUAUUAUAGUAUAGUUUAUAGAAUUAAGAGGGGGUUGAUAAUAUAUUAGUACUGUAAAGGAAUUAUGAAAUAAAUGAAAUAAUUAUUUAAUAAAAAGAAGAAUAUAAUUUGUACCUUGUGUAUCAGGGUUUAUUAAUAUAUAAAAUGUAAAUUUUUAGGUCCCGAAUUGGAAUGAGUAAAAAUAGAAUAUUAGUUAAUGUGGUAUAAUUAUUAAUGAUUUUAUUUUUGUAAUGAAAUGUUAUUCGUCUUCUAAUAUAUCUGGUUUUUUAAGAAAUAAAUUAAAUUUAUUUAUUGGGAGUAGAUGCUAUUUUUAAGAGCUAUUUAUUUUCCAAUUGAAGAUGUAUAAGGGGAUAAUCUCUUAUACAUAAAUUAUAAUAAUUUAAUAUAGUUAAAAUUAGUAGGCUUUAAAUUAGCUUUUGGUUGAAAAAUGUUAUAAUUUUUUUAAAAAUAAAAGGAUUUAUAUUAGUUGUUUAAUUUGUUUAUUAAAAUGUUAAGGGUAAUUAAAUUACUUGAGUAAUAAUGAUAAAAUAAGUAUAUGAAAUUUGUUUAUAAGAAUUUAUUUUUAGUAAAUUUGUAAUAAGGAACUAGGCAAAUUAUUACCCGUCUGUUUAUCAAAAACAUUUCCUUUAGUGUUAAUUUGAGGUUGGGCCUGCCCACUGAAAGGUAAAUUGAAGGGCCGCGGUAUUAUGACCGUGCAAAGGUAGCAUAAUCAUUAGUUUUUUAAUUGAGGGCUAGAAUGAAUGGUUUGACGAGGUAAUGACUGUCUCAUUAUGAUAAUUAGAAGUUAACUUUUAGGUUAAAAGGCUUAAAUGUGUAUAGAGGACGAGAAGACCCUAUAGAGUUUAAUAUAUUUAAAUAAUUAUUUAUUUAGAUGUUUAUAUAUAAUUACUUUAAAUGUAUUUUGUUGGGGUGACAUAAAGAUAUAUUUAACUCUUUAUUUUAUUUACAUUAAUAUAUGGGUUUUUGAUCCAUUUUUAGUGAUCAAAAGGUUAAAUUACCUUAGGGAUAACAGCGUAAUUUUCUUUGAGAGUUCGUAUCAACAAGGAAGAUUGCGACCUCGAUGUUGGAUUAAGAAGUAUAAUUGGAUGUAGUCGUUUAAUUUAUAGGUCUGUUCGACCUUUAAAGUCUUACAUGAUCUGAGUUCAGACCGGUGUGAGCCAGGUCGGUUUCUAUCCUUAUAUUUAGAUUAUAAUUUAGUACGAAAGGACCAAUUAUUAUAAAUAAUUUAUUAUUAUGAUUAAUUUUAA